CGACCUUGAUCUUCUGAGAA
RNAcentral lists this non-coding RNA (20 nucleotides) under Arabidopsis thaliana (thale cress). The record is from RNAcentral. Lineage: Eukaryota; Viridiplantae; Streptophyta; Magnoliopsida; Brassicales; Brassicaceae.